This is a non-coding RNA of Physcomitrium patens, 593 nucleotides long. The record is from RefSeq and is a predicted model, not a curated record. Lineage: Eukaryota; Viridiplantae; Streptophyta; Bryopsida; Funariales; Funariaceae.
CAACAGAAUCGAUAAAAUCGACACGUGGUGACGGUUCAAGCCCGUGCCCAGUGGCUCUCCGACGAACCUUUCUUUGUCUUUGCAGCCCUCUCACGCAAGCUCUGUGGAUUACUCGCUGACUCGGCCUUGCGAUUCUAUCUCGCUCGUGUUUGUGUUGGUUAACCCCGCGUGCUUUCUGAGAUUUGUGGGCUCCCAGCUGUUUUGCGAUUUCAGACCUGAUCUCUUAAGCUAAAAUACAACUAAAUUGACAACCUUUCAAUAGUAUUUUCGCUAAUUUUGUAUGCACAACUGAUCUCAGAAGCCUACGAUGAUGGUUAGGAGAGUGCCUGAUAUUUCAUCAACUAUACCUGAAUACUGCAGCCUUUAGAAGCGUGAAAUUGGUGUGUUGAAGGCUGUGUGUUGAAGGCUUUGACACACUCCUAAAUGGGGAGUUGCCAAUCAUGAAUUUGUGUGCGAAACUUCUCCAUGUUUGAGGUGAUACUGAAAAUCUCUUUAGUGGUACUAUUUAGUUGGUUAUUUUGGAAGCACUUAAGAAUCUCUUUGGGGAGACUUUGAACAAUUCAAAAUCAAAUUAAAACCAAAGACUUUGUGCA